UGGGGAAUAUUGGACAAUGGGCGAAAGCCUGAUCCAGCCAUGCCGCGUGUGUGAAGAAGGCCUUAUGGUUGUAAAGCACUUUAAGCGAGGAGGAGGGUACUGGUAUUAAUACUACCAGCUACUGGACGUUACUCGCAGAAUAAGCACCGGCUAACUCUGUGCCAGCAGCCGCGGUAAUACAGAGGGUGCGAGCGUUAAUCGGAUUUACUGGGCGUAAAGCGUGCGUAGGUGGUUCGUUAAGUUGAAUGUGAAAGCCCCGGGCUCAACCUGGGAACUGCAUCCAAAACUGGCGAGCUAGAGUAGGGCAGAGGGUGGUGGAAUUUCCUGUGUAGCGGUGAAAUGCGUAGAUAUAGGAAGGAACACCAGUGGCGAAGGCGACCACCUGGGCUCAUACUGACACUGAGGUGCGAAAGCGUGGGGAGCAAACAGG
Molecule: ribosomal RNA, 430 nt
Filed under: Pseudomonadota bacterium
Lineage: Bacteria; Pseudomonadati; Pseudomonadota
Description: Proteobacteria bacterium partial 16S ribosomal RNA
Rfam family: Bacterial small subunit ribosomal RNA
Source: RNAcentral